AAGGGCACUMUAAUGAGANUGCCGGUGACAAACCGGAGGAAGGUGGGGAWGACGUCAAGUCCUCAUGGCCCUUAUAGGUGGGGCUACACACGUCAUACAAUGGCUGGUACAGAGGGUUGCCAACCCGCGAGGGGGAGCUAAUCCCAUAAAACCAGUCGUAGUCCGGAUCGCAGUCUGCAACUCGACUGCGUGAAGUCGGAAUCGCUAGUAAUCGCGGAUCAGCAUGUCGCGGUGAAUACGUUCCCGGGUCUUGUACACACCGCCCGUCACACCAUGGGAGCGGGUUCUGCCAGAAGUAGUUAGCCUAACCGCAAGGAGGGCGAUUACCACGGCAGGUU
RNAcentral lists this ribosomal RNA (338 nucleotides) under uncultured bacterium. Its description in RNAcentral is "bacterial SSU rRNA". It matches the Rfam family "Bacterial small subunit ribosomal RNA", at positions 1131 to 1468 of the family's 1533-position model. The record is from RNAcentral.